Molecule: long non-coding RNA, 666 nt
Organism: Clupea harengus (Atlantic herring)
Lineage: Eukaryota; Metazoa; Chordata; Actinopteri; Clupeiformes; Clupeidae
Exons: 3
Source: RefSeq, a predicted model, not a curated record
UGUUGGUAUUAUUGUGUAAUAGCCUGCAUUCCCUGCAGGCGAACGUUAAUCGUAAUACUUCUAAAUCCCGAGGCGUUUAAAAGGAACCGAAGACAACUGUAGGAGAAGUUUAAAAGCGAGCGUAUGGGACUGUUACCGCGACUGACCAACGCCUAACAACUUUGUGUGGAGCUCACUUUUUAUUCGGUUGAACCCUGACCACGCCCACCUGAGGACCAUCACACAUGAACAAUGCACAUGGAAUUCCUUCCCAUACUCCUUUGCCAUUCUAAUUUGCACUCCAAAAGCUCCUGCAGUUGAUUGGUUAGGUUUGGAUCCAAGAAGCUGAUGGAUCAGACAGAGGAUUCACUUUAUUAACACCACAUAGGGGAGACUGAACUCACCUUCGUAAGAACUGAAGUCUGAAAUGUCAGGACAUACUGAAACCUCACAACUGCUCAUGUCAGUGAAGGAAGAGAUCAAAGAAGAAGAAUUUGAUGAUUUCCUGCAGGAGUAUCUUUCUGCAAUUCCGAAAGUGGAAGAAAAGCCUGGACUGGAAGCUGACUGUAAGACUGAAAUAUACACAUCACCAAUCUUGACCCACAAAGAAGAUGAGUAUUCACCAGUGGAAAUUAAACAGGAGGAAACAUCUGAUUUGAGAGAAUAUGGUCACUAUGACUCUACUCC